AUAGAGAUCUAACUAGCUAUCGGGAUGUUAUUCAGUCCGAGGAUAAUGAUAAAUGGGCGAUAAUGAUGACAGAAGAAAUGGAGUCUUUACAGAAGAACUAAACUUGGUAGUUAGUUCAACUUUCAAAAGGAUCGGCAAGUAGGUGUUCAGGAAAAAGGAAGCUCAGUCCGAUAAAGAAGGUGAAAUGAAAUAUUCAAGGCCAAGUUAGUGGGAAAAAGGAUUCUCUCAGAGAGAGAGAAUCAACUAUAAUAAGAUCUCACCAGUAGUGAAACACGCGUCGAAAUAAAUAACUCAAUUAACUGAACUGAAAUGAACAAAACUAACACAAAGAAAUAGUAGGCUGAAUCAAAUAGUUGGGUAUUAUUUUAUACCGAGCUCAAAACAAAAAUAUAUCUUGCCACACAAACGAGUCAAAUAAUGUCACACAGGCAAGUCACAUUGGACCACGAAUCCAAAUACAUGUAAAAUCGAAAGGCGUGUUUGGCAUAAACAUCACCAAUCCGCAUAACAUAACAGAACAGAAAACUAGGGUUGACCUAUACACCUCCCACAACAAAAUCACCAUAUGGCCAACUCGCAUCGGAG
Molecule: long non-coding RNA, 585 nt
Filed under: Panax ginseng (ginseng)
Lineage: Eukaryota; Viridiplantae; Streptophyta; Magnoliopsida; Apiales; Araliaceae
Description: long non-coding RNA (PGIN_LNC002186)
Source: RNAcentral